GAUAACGUUGCGUCAGCAACGGCACGCAGGGCGAGCGAAGCGAGUCAUCCUGCACGAUCCACCA
This 64-nucleotide small RNA is filed under the name Klebsiella michiganensis. RNAcentral's name for it is "partial RtT sRNA". It matches the Rfam family "RtT RNA", at positions 60 to 130 of the family's 130-position model. Rfam says of the family: This family represents a bacterial cis-regulatory element known as RtT RNA. The exact function of RtT is unknown although it is thought that it may be involved in changing the cellular response in relation to amino acid starvation. The record is from RNAcentral. Lineage: Bacteria; Pseudomonadati; Pseudomonadota; Gammaproteobacteria; Enterobacterales; Enterobacteriaceae.